Molecule: unclassified non-coding RNA, 372 nt
Filed under: uncultured Gammaproteobacteria bacterium
Lineage: Bacteria; Pseudomonadati; Pseudomonadota; Gammaproteobacteria
Description: contains 16S-23S intergenic spacer region
Source: RNAcentral
UCCGGUUUGUCACCGGCAGUCUCCUUAGAGUGCCCUUGCGUAGCAACUAAGGACAAGGGUUGCGCUCGUUGCGGGACUUAACCCAACAUCUCACGACACGAGCUGACGACAGCCAUGCAGCACCUGUGUUGCCGCUCUCUUUCGAGCACCCCCACCUUUCAGCAGGGUUCGGCACAUGUCAAGGGUAGGUAAGGUUUUUCGCGUUGCAUCGAAUUAAUCCACAUCAUCCACCGCUUGUGCGGGUCCCCGUCAAUUCCUUUGAGUUUUAAUCUUGCGACCGUACUCCCCAGGCGGUCGACUUCACGCGUUAGCUGCGUUACCAAGCCAAUGAAGGCCCGACAACUAGUCGACAUCGUUUAGGGCGUGGACUAC